This 76-nucleotide transfer RNA is filed under the name Clostridia bacterium. RNAcentral describes it as "tRNA-Arg". It matches the Rfam family "tRNA". Rfam says of the family: Transfer RNA (tRNA) molecules are approximately 80 nucleotides in length. Their secondary structure includes four short double-helical elements and three loops (D, anti-codon, and T loops). Further hydrogen bonds mediate the characteristic L-shaped molecular structure. tRNAs have two regions of fundamental functional importance: the anti-codon, which is responsible for specific mRNA codon recognition, and the 3' end, to which the tRNAs corresponding amino acid is attached (by aminoacyl-tRNA synthetases). tRNAs cope with the degeneracy of the genetic code in two manners: having more than one tRNA (with a specific anti-codon) for a particular amino acid; and 'wobble' base-pairing, i.e. permitting non-standard base-pairing at the 3rd anti-codon position. Lineage: Bacteria; Bacillati; Bacillota; Clostridia. The record is from RNAcentral.
AUACCCGUAGUCUAAUUGGAUAAAAUAAUGCCCUCCGACGGCGUCGUUUCGGGUUCGAGUCCCGACGGGUGUACCA